This 341-nucleotide unclassified non-coding RNA is filed under the name Hevea brasiliensis (rubber tree). Lineage: Eukaryota; Viridiplantae; Streptophyta; Magnoliopsida; Malpighiales; Euphorbiaceae. The record is from RNAcentral.
UAAUAAUAAAUUAAUGGUAAGAACUAUUUUAUUAAUGGAAUUAAAAAAUAGAGAUAAACUACUCCAGAACCAACCGGCUACUCCAAAGAACAAACUCCAAAUUGUAUCGAAACAUGAACCAUUUCUCUUUUAACAACUCCUAGCAAGAAGCCCAACUGCCUAAGCUUGAAAUGCUGGGAUUCCAUCAAAUCACAAAAUUGAUUUCAUUCCCCAUUGAAGCUUCGAAACACAUGCAAUGCUAUGACCAUAAGUGACCUAAUUAAAUUCAAUCCUCCUUUUUCAAUAACCUCCUUCAGGAUCCAAGGGACCUUACAGAGUUUAUAUAUGUAUAUAAAAUUUUA